AGAGUUUGAUCCUGGCUCAGGAUGAACGCUGGCGGCGUGCUUAACACAUGCAAGUCGAGCGAAGCAGUUAAGAAGAUUCUUCGGAUGAUUCUUGACUGACUGAGCGGCGGACGGGUGAGUAACGCGUGGGUGACCUGCCCCAUACCGGGGGAUAACAGCUGGAAACGGCUGCUAAUACCGCAUAAGCGCACAGAGCUGCAUGGCUCGGUGUGAAAAACUCCGGUGGUAUGGGAUGGGCCCGCGUCUGAUUAGGCAGUUGGCGGGGUAACGGCCCACCAAACCGACGAUCAGUAGCCGGCCUGAGAGGGCGACCGGCCACAUUGGGACUGAGACACGGCCCAAACUCCUACGGGAGGCAGCAGUGGGGAAUAUUGCACAAUGGGGGAAACCCUGAUGCAGCGACGCCGCGUGAGCGAAGAAGUAUUUCGGUAUGUAAAGCUCUAUCAGCAGGGAAGAUAAUGACGGUACCUGACUAAGAAGCCCCGGCUAACUACGUGCCAGCAGCCGCGGUAAUACGUAGGGGGCAAGCGUUAUCCGGAUUUACUGGGUGUAAAGGGAGCGUAGACGGCAAGGCAAGUCUGAUGUGAAAACCCAGGGCUUAACCCUGGGACUGCAUUGGAAACUGUCUGGCUCGAGUGCCGGAGAGGUAAGCGGAAUUCCUAGUGUAGCGGUGAAAUGCGUAGAUAUUAGGAAGAACACCAGUGGCGAAGGCGGCUUACUGGACGGUAACUGACGUUGAGGCUCGAAAGCGUGGGGAGCAAACAGGAUUAGAUACCCUGGUAGUCCACACCGUAAACGAUGAUUACUAGGUGUUGGGAGAUUGACCCUCUCAGUGCCGCAGUUAACACAAUAAGUAAUCCACCUGGGGAGUACGACCGCAAGGUUGAAACUCAAAGGAAUUGACGGGGGCCCGCACAAGCAGUGGAGUAUGUGGUUUAAUUCGACGCAACGCGAAGAACCUUACCAAGUCUUGACAUCCCUUGACGAUGCUGGAAACAGUAUUUCUCUUCGGAGCAAGGAGACAGGUGGUGCAUGGUUGUCGUCAGCUCGUGUCGUGAGAUGUUGGGUUAAGUCCCGCAACGAGCGCAACCCUUAUGGUCAGUUACUACGCAAGAGGACUCUGGCCAGACUGCCGUUGACAAAACGGAGGAAGGUGGGGAUGACGUCAAAUCAUCAUGCCCUUUAUGACUUGGGCUACACACGUACUACAAUGGCGUUAAACAAAGAGAAGCAAGACCGCGAGGUGGAGCAAAACUCAGAAACAACGUCCCAGUUCGGACUGCAGGCUGCAACUCGCCUGCACGAAGUCGGAAUUGCUAGUAAUCGUGGAUCAGCAUGCCACGGUGAAUACGUUCCCGGGCCUUGUACACACCGCCCGUCACACCAUGAGAGCCGGGGGGACCCGAAGUCGGUAGUCUAACCGCAAGGAGGACGCCGCCGAAGGUAAAACUGGUGAUUGGGGUGAAGUCGUAACAAGGUA
Molecule: ribosomal RNA, 1480 nt
Filed under: metagenome
Description: bacterial SSU rRNA
Rfam family: Bacterial small subunit ribosomal RNA
Source: RNAcentral